GACGAACGCUGGCGGCGUGCUUAACACAUGCAAGUCGAGCGGUAAGGCCCUUUCGGGGGUACGACGAGCGGCGAACGGGUAGAGUAACACGUGGGUGACCUGCCCUCAGCUCUGGGAUAAGCCUGGGAAACCGGGUCUAAUACCGGAUAUGACUCCAUGACGCAUGUUGUGGGGUGGAAAGCCUUGUGCGGCUGAGGAUGGGCCCGCGGCCUAUCAGCUUGUUGGUGGGGUGAUGGCCUACCAAGGCGACGACGGGUAGCCGGCCUGAGAGGGCGACCGGCCACACUGGGACUGAGACACGGCCCAGACUCCUACGGGAGGCAGCAGUGGGGAAUCUUGCGCAAUGGGCGAAAGCCUGACGCAGCGACGCCGCGUGAGGGAUGACGGCCU
This 390-nucleotide ribosomal RNA is filed under the name uncultured bacterium. RNAcentral's name for it is "bacterial SSU rRNA". It matches the Rfam family "Bacterial small subunit ribosomal RNA", at positions 28 to 417 of the family's 1533-position model. The record is from RNAcentral.